RNAcentral lists this ribosomal RNA (105 nucleotides) under Psychrobacillus psychrodurans. RNAcentral's name for it is "partial 16S ribosomal RNA". It matches the Rfam family "Bacterial small subunit ribosomal RNA", at positions 1 to 100 of the family's 1533-position model. The record is from RNAcentral. Lineage: Bacteria; Bacillati; Bacillota; Bacilli; Caryophanales; Bacillaceae.
AUUAUGGAGAGUUUGAUCCUGGCUCAGGACGAACGCUGGCGGCAUGCCUAAUACAUGCAAGUCGAGCGAAUGACGAAGAAGCUUGCUUCUUCUGAUUUAGCGGCG